GCCGAGGUGGUGGAAUUGGUAGACACGCAGCGUUGAGGGCGCUGUGGCCGUAUAGGCUGUAGGAGUUCGAGUCUCCUCCUCGGCACCA
This 88-nucleotide transfer RNA is filed under the name Chloroflexota bacterium. Its description in RNAcentral is "Chloroflexi bacterium tRNA-Leu". It matches the Rfam family "tRNA". Rfam says of the family: Transfer RNA (tRNA) molecules are approximately 80 nucleotides in length. RNAcentral also lists the same sequence under 2 other names. Lineage: Bacteria; Bacillati; Chloroflexota. The record is from RNAcentral.